This 845-nucleotide ribosomal RNA is filed under the name uncultured bacterium. RNAcentral describes it as "bacterial SSU rRNA". It matches the Rfam family "Bacterial small subunit ribosomal RNA", at positions 21 to 892 of the family's 1533-position model. The record is from RNAcentral.
GGCUCAGGACGAACGCUGGCGGCGUGCCUAAAACAUGCAGGUCGAACGGUGUAGCAAUACACAGUGGCGAACGGCGGAGUAAUACAUAAGCAACGUGCCCUGAAGACUGGGAUAGUCAGAGGAAACUCUGGGUAAUACCAGAUGUGGCCGUUUCCCCGCAUGGGGAGACGAUCAAAUGGUUUUUCGCUUCAGGAGCGGCUUAUGGCCUAUCAGGUAGUUGGUGGGGUAAUGGCCUACCAAGCCGACGACGGGUAGCGGGUCUGAGAGGAUGAUCCGCUCGAGUGGGACUGAGACACGGCCCACACACCUACGGGUGGCAGCAGUUGGGAAUCUUGCACAAUGGGGGAAACCCUGAUGCAGCGACGCCGCGUGGAGGAUGAAGGAUCUAGGUCUGUAAACUCCUUUUUCAGGGAAAGACUUAGGACGGUACCCUGAGAAUAAGGACCGGCUAACUACGUGCCAGCAGCCGCGGUAAGACGUAGGGUCCAAGCGUUGUCCGGAUUUACUGGGCGUAAAGAGCGCGUAGGCGGCUCGUUAAGUGUGAAGCUAAAUCUCUAGGCUCAACCUGGAAACUAUUUCGCAUACUGGCAAGCUAGAGUGAUGAAGAGGUUUGUGGAAUUCCUGGUGUAGCGGUGAAAUGCGUUGAUAUCAGGAGGAACACCCAUGGCGAAGGCAGCAAACUGGUCAUCAACUGACGCUGAGGCGCGAAAGCGUGGGUAGCAAACAGGAUUAGAUACCCUGGUAGUCCACGCCCUAAACGAUGGAUACUAGGCGUAAGAGGUAUCGACCCCUCUUGUGCCGCAGCUAACGCAUUAAGUAUCCCGCCUGGGGAGUACGGCCGCAAG